This 632-nucleotide long non-coding RNA is filed under the name Coccomyxa subellipsoidea. RNAcentral's name for it is "long non-coding RNA (CSUB_LNC000022)". Lineage: Eukaryota; Viridiplantae; Chlorophyta; Trebouxiophyceae; Coccomyxaceae. The record is from RNAcentral.
UGCCGCGCCCCCUAUGCUGCUGCUCGCCUCUGCUGCAAGCUGCUCCUCCUGUUACGCACAACAACAUCAAUUGCUCAGCAGCCUGCCCCAAUGCGAUCUCCAGAACCUGCCUUGCAUCCUCUGUACUGUUAUAGGUACUCCCCAUCAGUAAGCAAGGUGAAGUAGACAAGCGCUCAAGCAGAAGCAAGGGAAGCAGGGCUACAUAAAGGAGAUGCCUGGACAUGCAGCUCUUUGGAUCACUAACUGGGAUUGUGUUCAGCACUCAUCAUACAUAAAGGCGGACCUUGACAGCAGGUUGGCUGCUAGCACUGCGGUGCGCAUCGUGCUGCUCUGGGCUGGCCAGGAAGCUCGCCUGUGCAGGCAAGCCUUCCAGAUCCAUGUACCCAUUCACUCCUGUCCCCUCCGCUGCUGGCUCAGCCUCUUGCCGCUCCAGCAUCUCUGCAUUGUCCUCCAUCCUGCCGCUGCUGACAGCCUGAGCCCUGCUGACAUCAUCGGCCCUGCUGACGUCACCGUUGACGAGGCUCGGCUGUGUGCCCUCCAGCCCCGCUUCGCUGAUGUCAGCGUGCGCCAGCGAUGCGUCAUCCGCGUCGCCGAGCAGCACCACCUCACUUCUUGCUGCUGCCUCGGUCUCU